UGUGACGGGAUCAUGCGGUGCCCGGAC
This 27-nucleotide non-coding RNA is filed under the name Mus musculus (house mouse). The record is from RNAcentral. Lineage: Eukaryota; Metazoa; Chordata; Mammalia; Rodentia; Muridae.